UGUAAUACAGUAAACCAAAAUAUUUAAUUUAAUUUACAAUAACCAGAGGGCCUCCGAAUAAAUAAAAGUAAAGAGGACUGUGAACUUACAGUUUGGAAAAUGCAGAUCCAAUGAUAGUCCUUGAUGAGAUCAACUAUCUACAGUUUAUACUGAACCUGAAAUGGAUGGAAAGGAGGGUGGUGAGAUUAUAAAAUCCUAAUGAGUAAACAGACAUCAUCAUAAACAUCUAGAGUUGAGUACAUGGAGACAAUAAAGUAAAUCAUCGUAAACUGGGUCACAGUAUUAGAACACAUUUCAUUCAAAGUACGUAAAGAGGCUUAUGAAUCUCAUAAAAACUAAGCCUGCGCCAUAAAUCCAUUCUCGGGGACACUUUGGCCGAGGCAUCCUACCGAGACCGUCAAGGCUGUUAAAAAUUCACAUUUCACAUAAAACACAUUUUUCGUUGGACAUCACAGUCGUUCCUUGGCGUUGGCUGAGUUCUCCCUCACGUGGUGGUUUAGCGUGAAGUGAACCCUAAACUUUACCCUAGGAGAUACCCUACGCGCCUCUCCGUUCGGGGUAAGAAUAUAAUGGGGUUUACCGUGCCCCUCUAAAAGGCUGGUCCACAGAAACCCCCUACUGCAGUGAUUAAUUAAUAUAUAAUUCACCAUACAAUAAAACUCAAUAACAUGAUAUGGUAAUUUUUGUAAUUCGCGAUCUUUCAAGGCAACCAAACAAUUCAUAUUUCAAUACAAAUGCCAACUAGCCAAUCAUGCCCGAUUUAUCAUAAGCCAAUCAAUUUAAACAAUCGAAUUGCAACAAUUAACAGUCUCCGUGUACUCUAUUUUUUAAAAUCAUUAUUAAUUUCAAAACAAUUUAUAAAUUAAUUUCAUUGAAACACAUUUAUUCAUAAAACAUGAAAAUUUACCUUUUUAAAUCCCUUUUUCCAUAGAAUUCAUGAUAUCAUCUAAAAACCACCUUAGAUAAUUAAAAUGACAGUAAGUUUAGUCACAAUGUCUAAAGUGCAUAUUCUCGAAAUACUCAGACUACUGGUCCUCGGAUGCAAUUCCCUUGCCUUUAUCGGAGGACUCGCCACCUUGACACAAUACAAAAUCGAGAAACUCACUACAUUGGUACUAAAUUGAAAUUAAACUAAUUUAGACUACUAAUGCAUGAUAUGAAAUGCAAAAAUGCACUGGUAACUAUCUAAACCCGGUAUUGACCUAAUUCGUCUUAUCACCCGAUUAAAUUACUAACGCGUCCAAUUUAAUCCCAAAUUACUCCAAAUUGUUCCAAUUCUUUUCCAAUAUCUUAAUUCACCAAACUCAAAUCAAAUAACCUAAAAUUUGGUUAAACUAUCUUCACUUUUCUUCUUAAAAUUUUCGGCCAAUAAUGGUGCAUUAACACCAUGAUUUUUCCUACUACUUUUUCAUACCAUAAUUCAUCAUUUUCUAACCAAUUCUCCUAGAAUAAAAAUCAAAUUCAUCCUCACUUAAAACAUGGUAAAUUCGGCCACUGAUGGUUGUUGGAGAAAAUAAAUUCUUUUCUUGUUAUUUUGUUUCUAAAUAUGCUAAACUAACUAAAAACACUAACAUAACUUAAAAUCAAGUCAAUCCAACAACUUUCUCUCUCCAUACCCAUUUUGAUCAGCCAUCAAUUCAUCAUGAAAACAUGUAAUUUAAGCAUGGAAAAUAAGGAGAAAUGCUUAAGGAAAAUAGAUUUCAAGCUUAAGUUGAAAAAAUCUUACAUUUUUCUCUUGUUUUCCUUGAUUUUCCACACUUUUUCUCUUGAAAUUCUUCACCCAGGGUUUGUUCUUCCUUUCUUUCCCUCUUU
This 1812-nucleotide long non-coding RNA is filed under the name Theobroma cacao (cacao). RNAcentral describes it as "long non-coding RNA (TCAC_LNC005576)". The record is from RNAcentral. Lineage: Eukaryota; Viridiplantae; Streptophyta; Magnoliopsida; Malvales; Malvaceae.